Dermochelys coriacea (leatherback sea turtle) is the source of this 2416-nucleotide long non-coding RNA. RefSeq lists it as uncharacterized. The record is from RefSeq and is a predicted model, not a curated record. NCBI's taxonomy places the organism in Eukaryota, Metazoa, Chordata, Testudines, Dermochelyidae. The transcript has 3 exons.
GGAGAACUCCCAGGAAAAGAGAAUUUAGGGCAAGAACCCCCCAGAUAACUGAAGGAAGAAAUCCUAACCUGUGAGGUGCUCCUCUCUCCCAGGCAGCAGAGAAGCCACUGCCUGAGCCUGGAGGAAUAUGACAAUUCUUCCUACUCCUGUCUGGAAAGCAAUAGCCUUCUCCACCACAGUGUCCUGAUGUUACCACCCUGACUCCAUUUAAAAAAAAAACAACAAGAACCCCUUUCAAAGCCAGUUAACACAGCAGGCAGCACUAGAACAACCCUCACUUUGCCAGCAGCUGAAUUACAGGUACCAGUGCACAAGAGGUUGAAACCACACCCUGCUGAUGAGGCAGAGGCUUCAAAAUCACUAGCUUUCUUGCUCCUAACCAUGUGGGCUGAGUUUGACUGGUUUUGGUAGCUUUCAGAUUUAAUGCAACCUGGAAUUCUUCCAGUUGCUUCCCACCCCAUUCUUGGCAAGAGGAUGCCUUCCAAACCAGUCCUUCGACUUUAUUUCCAGUGUAAAAGUCUUUGCUGCCCUUCUUUCCACAGUGACCAACAAUAUAGACUACUUUUAUUUCACAGCUAGCAUUUUUUGGCCUCAUGUUGCUGUAGGUGAUAUUUCAAUCUUUCUUUUCUAUGGCACCUUUCAAAACAAGCUCCAGUGUAUGUGGCUCUGCAUAUCCCUGAGCUUUGAGAUUGACCAAGUCCAAAAAUGCAAAAGAAACUUGGCCAAAUCUGCUGCAUUUUUCCUGCAUUUUCACAGAUGGAAUCUUCAAAAAACAAACAAAAAGCCCCAACCAACCCCCCUCCCAAUAAUACUUAGCAUUUCACAGUGUGGGAUCAUUAUUUCCAUUUUACAGAUAGGGAAGUUGAGGCACAGUUGUUAAUUCCAAGACCUUUCAGUGACCCCGUGGCAAAGCUGAGAAUAGAACUUGUCUUCUGACUCCCAGUGCCUUAUCCACUGGCAAAAGCUGGCUGAGAGUCGGUGGUUUUCCCCUCAUCAUGUGUUUCAUUCAUGAAAGGAAUUAGCUGAACAAUCAGCUAAGAAUCCUUGUAUAGUGUAUAAGAAUAGGGUGGUAGCCCUUUAAAUCGGAGGCUCACAACCAGAAGGUCUGGGGCCCCCUAGGGGGUGGUGAGCAGGUUUCAAGGGGUCUGCCAAAAUAAAACAUAGAGCAGGGCUGGUGUUGGACUCGCUGGGGACCAGGGCUGAAAGCCGAAGCCUGAGCAACUUAGCUUCAUGGUGCCUCUUGGGGUGUGGCACCUGGGCAGUUGCCCUCCUUGCUACCCCCUAACACCAGCCCAGGCUUUUAAUCUAUGGGCUGUGCAGAAAAACAGUUGUAGCACAGCUGGGCAAUGGAAUUUUUAUAGAGUGUUGUGGGGGAGGGAGGGGCUCAGAAAGCAAAAAGUUGGAAACCCCUGCUUUAAAUAGUGUAUGAGCCCUCUAGGGUGCUCAGUGUUUUAAGUUUUAGAAGCCCCCCAGAAAGCUGUCAGAGCAGCAGUGUGUAUAUAGUUAGGCCUCGCAUGCCAGUAUGUAUUUUGUAAACAGUCCUUUAGCAUCCACUUCUGCCUGGCUGGUUUCUUCCUUUUGUAAUUGUUGUGGAAAGAUGGAAAGACACAAUGCCAGGACACAAUGAGAUGGGGUCUCUAGGUGUUUUAUUUGCUGGUCAAUAGAGUAACAAUACUGUAUUUCAGCUAUUACCAGUGCUUGUAUUCCUAUGAAUAGAGUUGACAACCCUCCAGGAUUGGCAACCCUACCUAGGAAGGAAGGAAGGAGCAAAUUCUCCAUCUCUCCUCUCCUAGCCUCAUCCUUUGCCCCCAGCUCAAUCUCUGUGAGCUGCCACUAGGGGAGCACUCUCUGCACUUACCCCAUAAAACCUGCUCCCCUCUGCCCACACAGUGGAAUAUGUUCUGGUUCUGCUGCAAGGGGACUCUCCCUGGCUGCAGAGGCAGGGGCAGGAUUUGGCCCUAUCUUACCUCUGCUGUGGUAAAAAUAUACUGUAGGGAAAAAACCUACACUUACAUAGGCAUGAACGAGACUAGUAAUUCUCAAACCACAUAAUCUAUGGAUCGCUGAUGGUUCGUGGAGCCCUUCCUUGUGGUUCAAGAAAUUAAAUAUGAUGAGAACCCAAUAGUGAUAGAUGGUUUAGGAGGUGAGGUGGGGCCACAAGGGAAUCCCAGACUUUUGAAGUGGUCUGCAGAAUGAUAAAAGAUGGACUAACUGACUAUUCCCAACAUGAAUGAUUUGGGAUUCUGUAUGAAAGAUUCCAAUCUUCUGAUCAGAUGGAAGGCAAUUCAACUUGGUUUCAGUCUGGCAAGGGUCCAUGUGCGGAUGCUUUCAUGCGUCCCAAGUGGAUUUGCACAGGCCAAAUUCAAAUCUACAAUGAAGCCACUGUGAUUUGAUUUUGUCAGAAAUGCCAGAAGUA